This 253-nucleotide ribosomal RNA is filed under the name uncultured bacterium. Its description in RNAcentral is "partial 16S ribosomal RNA". It matches the Rfam family "Bacterial small subunit ribosomal RNA", at positions 524 to 776 of the family's 1533-position model. The record is from RNAcentral.
UACGGAGGGUGCAAGCGUUAUCCGGAUUCACUGGGUUUAAAGGGCGCGUAGGCGGCGGCUCAAGUCGGGGGUGAAAUCCUCUCGCUUAACGAGAGAAUUGCUUUCGAUACUGGGUCGCUGGAGGGAGAUAGGGGUGCGCGGAACUUCCGGUGGAGCGGUGAAAUGCGUAGAUAUCGGAAGGAACGCCGGUGGCGAAAGCGGCGCACUGGACGGUGACUGACGCUGAGACGCGAAAGCGUGGGGAGCAAACAGG